RNAcentral lists this transfer RNA (83 nucleotides) under Actinomycetota bacterium. RNAcentral's name for it is "tRNA-Leu". It matches the Rfam family "tRNA". Rfam says of the family: Transfer RNA (tRNA) molecules are approximately 80 nucleotides in length. Their secondary structure includes four short double-helical elements and three loops (D, anti-codon, and T loops). Further hydrogen bonds mediate the characteristic L-shaped molecular structure. tRNAs have two regions of fundamental functional importance: the anti-codon, which is responsible for specific mRNA codon recognition, and the 3' end, to which the tRNAs corresponding amino acid is attached (by aminoacyl-tRNA synthetases). tRNAs cope with the degeneracy of the genetic code in two manners: having more than one tRNA (with a specific anti-codon) for a particular amino acid; and 'wobble' base-pairing, i.e. permitting non-standard base-pairing at the 3rd anti-codon position. Lineage: Bacteria; Bacillati; Actinomycetota. The record is from RNAcentral.
GCGGGUGUGGCGGAACUGGCAGACGCGCAGGAUUUAGGUUCCUGUGUCCACGCGACGUGCGGGUUCGAGUCCCGUCACCCGCA